This 316-nucleotide long non-coding RNA is filed under the name Nicotiana benthamiana. Its description in RNAcentral is "long non-coding RNA (NBEN_LNC038781)". The record is from RNAcentral. Lineage: Eukaryota; Viridiplantae; Streptophyta; Magnoliopsida; Solanales; Solanaceae.
AGCCAACAAUGUCAACUUCUCACACAACGUUUAGGCACAAGAAAAUAUACCUCAACACGAGGAUUGGAUUACCGAAACCGGCAACCAGGAGGACAUAGACACACCUGCUCAUGGCAUGCGAUAUCCCCGACAUGUACAAGAGGCCACUUUUGAUAAGCUGAAGAUGAGCACGUUGCAGAAUGGUGACACCAUGGCCAUCUCUUACUGCAAGUCAGGCCAAGAAAAAACUAAGGCAAGCAUUGUUGGGUGCUUCCAACAGUGCGACUGGAAGAAGCCCAAUUCUUCCUAGUGCUCCCACAAAUCAAACAUCACAAAG